GAGGAGGAGGAGGAGAGGUCGGAGCCGUCUCCAGGAGCCCUUAGAGACCGAGUCCCGGCGGCGACGGCGGGGCAGCGCACCGGCAGGCGGAUUCAUUCCACUUAAAACCUGAAAACAUUGGACCACACAAAGUCUUACUGGUAAGUUCUUCAUUUCUUAAACAAAGUGACUGUUUGACUUUAUUUUUGAGAUGAUAUUCACACUUCUAAGUUAGAUGCUUCCCUACCAGUGCUAUGAUGAGAUGUCUAUUUAUUUGUACUUUUCUUUAAUCUCUAUAAUUUAUGAUGUUUCCAUGCCUUAAAAAAACAGAGCAACCCAUGUUCCUUUGUAAGACCAUGGGCAGGAUAAAGAUCCAUGAUUACAUGCCAAAUACUAUUAAAAUAAAAACUUUUUUGGGUAAUGAAACUAUUUCCAGGCCCCUGUUGAUGGGAGUAUCCAAAACAACAGAGUGUUAUUUCAG
This 460-nucleotide small RNA is filed under the name Pan troglodytes (chimpanzee). RNAcentral's name for it is "processed transcript". The record is from RNAcentral. Lineage: Eukaryota; Metazoa; Chordata; Mammalia; Primates; Hominidae.